GUGCUAAUAGGGAAAGCGGCAGCUAUAUAUAAAAUACCUAUGGCAAUGGUGGGAAAAUUAAGUAUUCAUCUGUAUAUUUCCAUUUUUCCGAGGAGGUAUUUGUUUUAACUGUAUAUUAUGUUGCGCUUGGGGGUGGCUUCUUUCUUUAAGUGGCAGCGCUUGAAGUACUAGUGAUUUGUCGAUAUACUAUUUUGUAUUUUUAAGAUUUUUUUGUGGAACAAAAAUGAAAAAAAAACUUAGAGCUCGGGAAAUAAUAUCAAUGCAUCCUGAGGCCGCUGGAGGUGCUGCUGUAAAGACCAAGCUUUCAAAGGGCUGACCCGAUGCGCAAUAAUUUCGUUUAAUUGAUGUAGGAAUAAAUAUUUAGUCCGUACGAAAAAUCAUCAGCAGCAAUCUGCCGAGAUCAGUCUUUUAAUUUAUUUAACCUUAAAAGGAAACCCCAAAUGCAUUGGUUUGUAUACAAUGAGUAUAAAAUACGAUAGAAUUAAUAGAAAUCGAAUUGAACAGGUUCGCUGUGGUCAAUGGUGCUGCUGAUUCCAUUGGAAUCGGUGACGACGCAUCGUGUUCUUUUCUGAUAAAAGUCGUCAGUUGCAGUGUGAAAAUUAAACAUGUGAUUUCCGGACGUAGUCAGCCAUGCAAUGGAAUGACGUAGUCAGCCAUGCAAUGGAAUGACGUAAAUCGCAAGCCAUGGGGAACUCAGGCUGCUUUAUAACGAGAACGCUGCUUGUAAUAGACGUCCUCGAAAGGCAUCAUGGGCGUCGUUUGAAAAGCAGCCAAUAAUGAAUGGAUGGCACUUCCGGUUAUCAAAACUGCUGGACCAAGGUAAUAUGUCGGAUAGUGACUCCAUGGCCAUUCCUCAUAAAACGGAAAGUUAAGGGUAUCGCACCUCUGUUAGGAGAGAGAUAUUCAGAUGGCAAACCAAACAUACUCGGAUUUGAUUGAUGAUGCGACUGCUGGACGAAAUGAGCUAGAUUACGUACAUUGACAUAGACGUCGUCGUCUAUCUUGAAAAUGAAACCGACUUUGUUGCAGUUUCUGUACAGCCAGUUGAAGAUACCGGCAACUUUCAGCGACAAAUUUCUGUAGAAAUCAGACACUCCAAUCUGAAUGAGGUCGCCAUACAUCUUGCUCUCUUCCUCGAUUUGAGCUUGCAUCACAUCAUUCGUCGUCAAUCCCAACAUGAAACCAAAGCCGACAAUACCCAACAAACCUUUUUCAUACUCAGCUUUUAAAUGAAUUUUCCAUGUUUGUCGAAUGAUUUUUCGCUUUUCGAAAUUGCCAGGGGCUGACACGACCGCUACGAAAACCUUUUGAUCGACUGUAAUAACGUCCAGACGACACGGGCCGAUGGUUAUGGGGUAUCGGAAAGAAAGGACGUCGUUGAUCACCGAACCGAAUUCCGGUUUCAAUGGUUCCACAUUAAUCAAAGGCAACAGUCCUAAGCGAGCCACUGCAUAUCGCGAAUAAUUUUCUUCUCCGGGAUAAGUAUUGCGCAAAACAAGAGAAGCGUACUUGAAAAACUCUUGAUUCACCGUUAUU
Long non-coding RNA from Daphnia pulicaria, 1536 nucleotides. RefSeq lists it as uncharacterized. The record is from RefSeq and is a predicted model, not a curated record. The transcript is spliced from 4 exons. NCBI's taxonomy places the organism in Eukaryota, Metazoa, Arthropoda, Branchiopoda, Diplostraca, Daphniidae.